Molecule: ribosomal RNA, 252 nt
Filed under: uncultured bacterium
Lineage: Bacteria
Description: partial 16S ribosomal RNA
Rfam family: Bacterial small subunit ribosomal RNA
Source: RNAcentral
CACGUAGGGCGCAAGCGUUGUCCGGAAUUAUUGGGCGUAAAGAGCUCGUAGGUGGUUUGUUACGUCUGCUGUGAAAACCUAGGGCUUAACCCUGGGCUUGCAGUGGAUACGGGCAGACUAGAGGUAGGUAGGGGAGAAUGGAAUUCCUGGUGUAGCGGUGAGAUGCGCAGAUAUCAGGAGGAACACCGGUGGCGAAGGCGGUUCUCUGGGCCUUACCUGACACUGAGGAGCGAAAGCGUGGGAGCGAACAGG